GGGAAACGAUGUGGGAAGGCUCAGACAGCCAGGAUGUUGGCUUAGAAGCAGCCAUCAUUUAAAGAAAGCGUAAUAGCUCACUGGUCGAGUCGGCCUGCGCGGAAGAUGUAACGGGGCUAAGUAGUAAACCGAAGCUGCGGCAAUGUGCUUUUGCACAUUGGGUAGGGGAGCGUUCUGUAAGCGGUUGAAGGUGUGUGGUAACGCAUGCUGGACGUAUCAGAAGUGCGAAUGCUGACAUGAGUAACGAUAAAGGGGGUGAAAAACCUCCUCGCCGGAAGACCAAGGGUUCCUGUCCAACGUUAAUCGGGGCAGGGUAAGUCGACCCCUAAGGCGAGGCCGAAAGGCGUAGUCGAUGGGAAACGGGUUAAUAUUCCCGUACUUCUUACAAUUGCGAUGGGGGGACGGAGAAGGCUAGGUGGGCCUGGCGACGGUUGUCCAGGUUCAAGUGCGUAGGCUUGA
This 459-nucleotide ribosomal RNA is filed under the name Vibrio parahaemolyticus. RNAcentral's name for it is "partial 23S ribosomal RNA". It matches the Rfam family "Bacterial large subunit ribosomal RNA", at positions 1065 to 1529 of the family's 2925-position model. The record is from RNAcentral. Lineage: Bacteria; Pseudomonadati; Pseudomonadota; Gammaproteobacteria; Vibrionales; Vibrionaceae.